RNAcentral lists this ribosomal RNA (100 nucleotides) under vertebrate environmental sample. RNAcentral describes it as "partial 12S ribosomal RNA". The record is from RNAcentral. Lineage: Eukaryota; Metazoa; Chordata.
UUAGCCUUAAACUUUAAUAGUCAAAACAACAAGACUAUUCGCCAGAACACUACAAGCAACAGCUUAAAAUUCAAAGGACUUGGCGGUGCUUCACACCCAC